CCAUAGGUUAAUGAGGCGAACCGGGGGAACUGAAACAUCUAAGUACCCCGAGGAAAAGAAAUCAACCGAGAUUCCCCCAGUAGCGGCGAGCGAACGGGGAGCAGCCCAGAGCCUGAAUCAGUGUGUGUGUUAGUGGAAGCGUCUGGAAAGGCGCGCGAUACAGGGUGACAGCCCCGUACACAAAAAUGCACAUGCUGUGAGCUCGAUGAGUAGGGCGGGACACGUGGUAUCCUGUCUGAAUAUGGGGGGACCAUCCUCCAAGGCUAAAUACUCCUGACUGACCGAUAGUGAACCAGUACCGUGAGGGAAAGGCGAAAAGAACCCCGGCGAGGGGAGUGAAAAAGAACCUGAAACCGUGUACGUACAAGCAGUGGGAGCACGCUUAGGCGUGUGACUGCGUACCUUUUGUAUAAUGGGUCAGCGACUUAUAUUCUGUAGCAAGGUUAACCGAAUAGGGGAGCCGAAGGGAAACCGAGUCUUAACUGGGCGUUAAGUUGCAGGGUAUAGACCCGAAACCCGGUGAUCUAGCCAUGGGCAGGUUGAAGGUUGGGUAACACUAACUGGAGGACCGAACCGACUAAUGUUGAAAAAUUAGCGGAUGACUUGUGGCUGGGGGUGAAAGGCCAAUCAAACCGGGAGAUAGCUGGUUCUCCCCGAAAGCUAUUUAGGUAGCGCCUCGUGAAUUCAUCUCCGGGGGUAGAGCACUGUUUCGGCAAGGGGGUCAUCCCGACUUACCAACCCGAUGCAAACUGCGAAUACCGGAGAAUGUUAUCACGGGAGACACACGGCGGGUGCUAACGUCCGUCGUGAAGAGGGAAACAACCCAGACCGCCAGCUAAGGUCCCAAAGUCAUGGUUAAGUGGGAAACGAUGUGGGAAGGCCCAGACAGCCAGGAUGUUGGCUUAGAAGCAGCCAUCAUUUAAAGAAAGCGUAAUAGCUCACUGGUCGAGUCGGCCUGCGCGGAAGAUGUAACGGGGCUAAACCAUGCACCGAAGCUGCGGCAGCGACGCUUAUGCGUUGUUGGGUAGGGGAGCGUUCUGUAAGCCUGUGAAGGUGUACUGUGAGGUAUGCUGGAGGUAUCAGAAGUGCGAAUGCUGACAUAAGUAACGAUAAAGCGGGUGAAAAGCCCGCUCGCCGGAAGACCAAGGGUUCCUGUCCAACGUUAAUCGGGGCAGGGUGAGUCGACCCCUAAGGCGAGGCCGAAAGGCGUAGUCGAUGGGAAACAGGUUAAUAUUCCUGUACUUGGUGUUACUGCGAAGGGGGGACGGAGAAGGCUAUGUUGGCCGGGCGACGGUUGUCCCGGUUUAAGCGUGUAGGCUGGUUUUCCAGGCAAAUCCGGAAAAUCAAGGCCGAGGCGUGAUGACGAGGCACUACGGUGCUGAAGCAACAAAUGCCCUGCUUCCAGGAAAAGCCUCUAAGCAUCAGGUAACAUCAAAUCGUACCCCAAACCGACACAGGUGGUCAGGUAGAGAAUACCAAGGCGCUUGAGAGAACUCGGGUGAAGGAACUAGGCAAAAUGGUGCCGUAACUUCGGGAGAAGGCACGCUGAUACGUAGGUGAAGCGACUUGCUCGUGGAGCUGAAAUCAGUCGAAGAUACCAGCUGGCUGCAACUGUUUAUUAAAAACACAGCACUGUGCAAACACGAAAGUGGACGUAUACGGUGUGACGCCUGCCCGGUGCCGGAAGGUUAAUUGAUGGGGUUAGCGCAAGCGAAGCUCUUGAUCGAAGCCCCGGUAAACGGCGGCCGUAACUAUAACGGUCCUAAGGUAGCGAAAUUCCUUGUCGGGUAAGUUCCGACCUGCACGAAUGGCGUAAUGAUGGCCAGGCUGUCUCCACCCGAGACUCAGUGAAAUUGAACUCGCUGUGAAGAUGCAGUGUACCCGCGGCAAGACGGAAAGACCCCGUGAACCUUUACUAUAGCUUGACACUGAACAUUGAGCCUUGAUGUGUAGGAUAGGUGGGAGGCUUUGAAGUGUGGACGCCAGUCUGCAUGGAGCCGACCUUGAAAUACCACCCUUUAAUGUUUGAUGUUCUAACGUGGACCCGUGAUCCGGGUUGCGGACAGUGUCUGGUGGGUAGUUUGACUGGGGCGGUCUCCUCCUAAAGAGUAACGGAGGAGCACGAAGGUUGGCUAAUCCUGGUCGGACAUCAGGAGGUUAGUGCAAUGGCAUAAGCCAGCUUGACUGCGAGCGUGACGGCGCGAGCAGGUGCGAAAGCAGGUCAUAGUGAUCCGGUGGUUCUGAAUGGAAGGGCCAUCGCUCAACGGAUAAAAGGUACUCCGGGGAUAACAGGCUGAUACCGCCCAAGAGUUCAUAUCGACGGCGGUGUUUGGCACCUCGAUGUCGGCUCAUCACAUCCUGGGGCUGAAGUAGGUCCCAAGGGUAUGGCUGUUCGCCAUUUAAAGUGGUACGCGAGCUGGGUUUAGAACGUCGUGAGACAGUUCGGUCCCUAUCUGCCGUGGGCGCUGGAGAACUGAGGGGGGCUGCUCCUAGUACGAGAGGACCGGAGUGGACGCAUCACUGGUGUUCGGGUUGUCAUGCCAAUGGCACUGCCCGGUAGCUAAAUGCGGAAGAGAUAAGUGCUGAAAGCAUCUAAGCACGAAACUUGCC
Molecule: ribosomal RNA, 2610 nt
Filed under: Escherichia coli
Lineage: Bacteria; Pseudomonadati; Pseudomonadota; Gammaproteobacteria; Enterobacterales; Enterobacteriaceae
Also listed under: 1 other name
Description: partial 23S ribosomal RNA
Rfam family: Bacterial large subunit ribosomal RNA
Source: RNAcentral